AAACCAACAGGGAUUGCCUUAGUAGCGGCGAGUGAAGCGGCAAAAGCUCAAAUUUGAAAUCUGGCUCUUUCAGAGUCCGAGUUGUAAUUUGAAGAAGGUAUCUUUGGGUCUGGCUCUUGUCUAUGUUUCUUGGAACAGAACGUCACAGAGGGUGAGAAUCCCGUGCGAUGAGAUGAUCCAGGCCUAUGUAAAGUUCCUUCGAAGAGUCGAGUUGUUUGGGAAUGCAGCUCUAAGUGGGUGGUAAAUUCCAUCUAAAGCUAAAUAUUGGCGAGAGACCGAUAGCGAACAAGUACAGUGAUGGAAAGAUGAAAAGAACUUUGAAAAGAGAGUGAAAAAGUACGUGAAAUUGUUGAAAGGGAAGGGCUUGAGAUCAGACUUGGUAUUUUGUAUGUUACUUCUUCGGGGGUGGCCUCUACAGUUUAUCGGGCCAGCAUCAGUUUGGGCGGUAGGAGAAUUGCGUUGGAAUGUGGCACGACUUCGGUUGUGUGUUAUAGCCUUCGUCGAUACUGCCAGCCUAGACUGAGGACUGCGGUUUAUACCUAGGAUGUUGGCAUAAUGAUCUUAAGUCGC
Molecule: ribosomal RNA, 570 nt
Filed under: Candida tropicalis
Lineage: Eukaryota; Fungi; Ascomycota; Pichiomycetes; Serinales; Debaryomycetaceae
Description: eukaryotic LSU rRNA
Rfam family: Eukaryotic large subunit ribosomal RNA
Source: RNAcentral